GUCAGUUGCCGAACGGACAGAUUAUAAAUACCGUGCAGACCAAGUUGCAAUGCGUGUGAUAUCGCUGAAUUGAUAUCUGCAACAGCGUUAUUUCACGAUGCAUAAUAAUAUACGUACAACAAAAUUGAGAUAACAUUCUGCGAUUUUAGCGGUUUAUCUGAACUGCACCCUUCUGGGUAUCUAAUCUAUCUUGACGUAAAAUCGUUUCUUUGUCAUGCGUGAAGAAUUUUUUUCCUCGACCGGGCAGUUCUUCUACGUACAACCGCAACAUUCAUCUUCCAGAGAUCGCUAAACCGAAAGAAUUGUUUUUUCGACAGUAUUUUUCGCAUACCAAACUAUGACGUAAUAUUUGAUAAGCAGAGCAAUUUCUUGGAAAUUCGGAAGUGACGAAUUCAUACGCGAAAGAAUUCGGUAAUCAAUCACAGUGGAAUGUCUUAACAAACAUGACACUCGACGACAAAAAUUAGUUGCGUUCAAAAUAAGUGAAAAAAGGUAGAGAAGGUCAGACGCGUUUGCGCCACAUACAAAGAAGUAUAGGUAACUAUAUGUUAAUCACGCAACGCGUUAUCCGAUCGGAAUGUCCAAAGUAAGCCGUACGUUCUCUGGAGGCUGAAAUCGCGAAUUG
This 625-nucleotide unclassified non-coding RNA is filed under the name Athalia rosae (coleseed sawfly). RNAcentral's name for it is "misc RNA ENSAEAG00005012571.1". Lineage: Eukaryota; Metazoa; Arthropoda; Insecta; Hymenoptera; Athaliidae. The record is from RNAcentral.